GACGAACGCUGGCGGCGUGCUUAACACAUGCAAGUCGAACGGUAAGGCCCUUCGGGGUACACGAGUGGCGAACGGGUGAGUAACACGUGGGUGAUCUGCCCUGCACUUCGGGAUAAGCCUGGGAAACUGGGUCUAAUACCGGAUAGGACUCCUGGCUUCACGGUUGGGGGGGGAAAGCUUUUGCGGUGUGGGAUGGGCCCGCGGCCUAUCAGCUUGUUGGUGGGGUAAUGGCCUACCAAGGCGACGACGGGUAGCCGGCCUGAGAGGGUGACCGGUCACACUGGGACUGAGAUACGGCCCAGACUCCUACGGGAGGCAGCAGUGGGGAAUAUUGCACAAUGGGCGCAAGCCUGAUGCAGCGACGCCGCGUGAGGGAUGACGGCCUUCGGGUUGUAAACCUCUUUCAGCUAUGACGAAGCGCAAGUGACGGUAGUAGCAGAAGAAGGACCGGCCAACUACGUGCCAGCAGCCGCAGUAA
This 478-nucleotide ribosomal RNA is filed under the name uncultured bacterium. RNAcentral's name for it is "partial 16S ribosomal RNA". It matches the Rfam family "Bacterial small subunit ribosomal RNA", at positions 28 to 523 of the family's 1533-position model. The record is from RNAcentral.